This 524-nucleotide ribosomal RNA is filed under the name uncultured bacterium. RNAcentral's name for it is "bacterial SSU rRNA". It matches the Rfam family "Bacterial small subunit ribosomal RNA", at positions 8 to 526 of the family's 1533-position model. The record is from RNAcentral.
AGAGUUUGAUCAUGGCUCAGGAUGAACGCUAGCGGCAGGCUUAAUACAUGCAAGUCGUGGGGCAGCAGCCCCGUAGCAAUACGGGGGCUGGCGACCGGCAAACGGGUGCGCAAUACGUACGCAACCUCCCUUCGAGCGGGGAAUAGCCCAGGGAAACUUGGAUUAAUACCCCAUAAUAUAAUGAAGAGGCAUCUUUUUAUUAUUAAAGCUCCGGCACUUGAAGAUGGGCGUACGGCUGAUUAGGUAGUUGGCGGGGUAACGGCCCACCAAGCCUGCGAUCAGUAGCUGAUGUGAGAGCAUGAUCAGCCACACGGGCACUGAGACACGGGCCCGACUCCUACGGGAGGCAGCAGUGGGGAAUAUUGGACAAUGGGCGGAAGCCUGAUCCAGCAACGCCGCGUGAGGGAUGACGGCCUUCGGGUUGUAAACCUCUUUCAGCACCGACGAAGCUCCACUUUUUGGUGGUUUGACGGUAGGUGCAGAAGAAGGACCGGCCAACUACGUGCCAGCCGCCGCGGUAAUAC